This 4909-nucleotide long non-coding RNA is filed under the name Mytilus galloprovincialis (Mediterranean mussel). Lineage: Eukaryota; Metazoa; Mollusca; Bivalvia; Mytilida; Mytilidae. The record is from RNAcentral.
UGAUGACCUUUUGUUGCUACUGAAGCAAAUAUGGCCGACCAUGAUGAAUGAGGAUAUCUGUUAUCAACUUUACCAUAAUACAUGAAUAAAAACGAUAGCUGUAAGUAAAAUACACUCAAUUCAAAUAAUUUUACUAAAUAGAAACUUUGCAAAAUUCUGUAUCGUUAGGUCGAAGAAAUCGAUUGUGGUCAAUUAUGGCUUGAAAACUAUCGACUUUGCAUAAAAUGUUGUGAGAGUCUGAGUGGUUAAAUUUACCCUAGAAGCUGCUCCAUAUGGAUUAAAUUAGGGAUACAUUUUCUCAAAACUCGAUUCAGAUAUAUACAUGAUAUAUAAUUUCAUGGAAUAAAGAAAUAAAACAAUCAUAAAACUAUUAUACAAUGUAUUUACUUGCAAAAUAACACAGGGUAACACACACAUACUAGAUUUAUUAUGAAUUUUGCUUUUAUUAUAUAUGUCAUCAUAGUCAUGUGCAAAAUAAAUGUACAAUAGUCUGGAUGGGAACAUUUUCAUUUCAGUAUUCAGGGUUUGAAAUUAGCAUGAGUCCACAAACAAUAGCCCCUACAAUUACAAGCAUUUAGGCAGCAACCAUUUGAUUUUCUGGGGGGGCUAUGGUUUUUUUUUCUGUACAAACUUUUUUUUUCGCCUGCGGCGAAAAACAAUCUAUUUUUUUCGCGACAAGUCGAAAACAAUUUUUUUCUUUCAAUUUUAACAUUACAUAUAGUGGCAGCUGAGGGUGUAACAAACAAUUUUUUUUUUUCAGAAUUCAAAACAAAUUAUUUUUUUCUCCAAAAACUGGAAACAAACUUUUUUUUCCAAAAAAAACCAUAGCCCCCCCCAGAAAAUCAAAUGGUUGCUGCCUUAAGUGUGGGCUACUUCAAUUUUUUUUUUUAUAUAUAUUAUUUUAUAUAUAUGUUGGCAAGGACGUAUAUUAGAUUGUUAGUUAUACGUCCUUGAUGUUGGCUAUAAAAUUUAAGCUGUGGGCUACAAUGCUAAAAUUUUUACUUCAAUCCCUGGUAUUACUAUUUAUUUCAAGAAUAUUUUAUUGAAUUAUUAUCCGGUCAAUUUAUACAAUGUAAUAAUACCCCCCCCCCCCCCAAGUAAAAUCAUUAAGGGCAAAUAAAAAAAUGUGUGUUUCCUAUUUCCCCAUUUACCCUAUGAUUUAAGGUUACAAAUAGCUGCCUGCCUUAGAGUUUUUUUUGUCGUCUUUUCAAUAAGCAUUUUACAAUAUAAUAUCUCUUCCAAUGUUGAAUAAAGUAAAUUCCCUAUUUUUUUCAUAGAUAUUAUUUAAUUUGGCCUUAUAUAUAUACAUGUACUCCUAAUAAAUCUUUUAUUCCUGCAAAAAAUGUACUGUUGACUAUAAUUCUAGGACGCCAGUGAUCAGUUCUAAUGUUGUUUUUUUUUAUCUUACAGAUGGUGACAAAACAGCACAAUGUUUAGACUGAAUCAUAAUGAACAUGAUGAAUAAAACAAAAAGUGUAUAUUAGGUAUUAUUUUAUUUUUAGAUAAUUAUCCUGACUCGCUGUCAUAUGGAAUAAAUAUAUUACAUGUACUUACAUUGAUCUUCUAAAAUACUUCAAUGUUUCAAAUUAAUUCUUAAAAUGAAAACUGAGUUUGACAAGAAGCCAUAUUUUAUCAAAUCGAUUAAUGUAGACAAAUCUUUUUUACAGUUACAAAUGUAUGUGACAGUUAAACACUCAAUAACUUUCUUUAAUUAGUAUAGUAAGAUAAUACAGAGUGAAUGAAUUAUAAAAAAAGGUUGGAUUCAGUUUUUAAUUGUCAAUUAUACUUCCCUCCCCCAUAUUUUUCGAACUAUCUAUUCAUAUAUGUGUAACCAAGAAAUCCACAGUCUAAAACUAGGAGACUGAUAUGAGGAUUUGGUCACAACUAAAUGUUAAACCUAAGUAACCAUGCACCAUAAACUAGUAGUAAUACACAGAAGAUUAAUUCCACUUAGUAUAUAAUUUAUUUCCAAGACUGGAACUUGUCACCAAGCCUGUGACUUCCAAACUUAUAUAUCUUUUACAAAAUAGUACAAUAUAUAUAUAUAUAUGAGAAUUAAACAAUAAGAUAAAAAUCAAUUAUUACAUAAUGUGUUGACAAAUAUAAACAAGUUAUUAUCCAGAUAAAGAAAGAUAAAUAAUUAAUACAACUCUUUUAGCAAUGUCUCUAAUUUAGGGCGAUAUCUUUUUGCGCCAAAAAGUAACUCAUUUGCGCCACAACUUAAUUGCGCCAAUACUUCUUUUGCGCCACCUAAUUUUCAAAACUAUAGGUAUCAUUUGCGCCAAUAAAAUAAUCAUUUAAUUCCGCCAUUUUUAUUUAUUUUUUAUUUUAUUUAGCUCUGAAUUUAUCAAUUUUGAAGGUCGCUCCGACAACAUAUCGCUUGCUUUUCUUUUGCAUUUGUUUCGUGAAUAUGAUCUAAUUCUCCAUUCAAAAUAAUUGCACACGAUUCAUCUGUGAAUAGCCUAGCACAACAGGACUUAACUGUACAUCUCUACCUUAUAUCUUCAGUUUUCUUUACAAUGCCUGACGGAAUUUGUGUUCUUUAACAUGAUGACCGGUUUUCCUCUAUUGGACUCUAUUUUUUUAAUGGUAUAGAAUACAUCUUGACUCGUGACAAAAUAUUCUAUUACUUAACAAUUUAUUUUUUGGUGAGUUUUCUUAAAUUUGAUGAUAGAGUGUAUAGUUAAAUCUUAAAUGGAAAAGUUGAUUAUAGUACAUGUAUGAUAUAUAGGUAAAACAUGUACAGGUAUGAUAUAAGUAAAAAAUAUUUACAGUUAAAUGUGGCGCAAUUUCAUUUCAUUUAUUGGCCAUCAAAAUAAAAAGAGAGUGGCGCAAUUAAUACCUUUUCAAAACUGCAAUUGGCGCAAAUUGAUUCUGCCCCUAAUUUAAGAAGGAUAAAGGAUUAAGCCCUGAGGCAUUAUUGUCACUUUGAUUAUAAAAUGUCCAUUAUCAAUUGGAUAUAUAUUAACUUAUUGUCCAAGUAAAAUAUAUAAUAUAAACAUAAUUAAUGAUAAAUUCUUUGAGUCUCAAACAUAAGCAUUAAAAACCUAAACACAUCUGAAAGUCAUUUUAACUCUGUCAUAUAUGUUUAAUAAAUAAUGCAACAAUUUAUUUUUAGUUAAACUUAUUUUAUUAUCUCUUUAUUAAUUUCAGCUAUGUCAACCAGAAUGACUUUGAACACAGUUAUUGAAUUAGUUUCCUUGGAGACUUUAACAGUAAUUGUUAAGACUUGGAACCAGACAGAAUGAAACUGUGAGAAAGUUUACAUAUACAUGUACAGUGUACAUGUAGCUUCAAUAUGAAUCAAUUGAUACACCGUAAGUAUAUCUUUCUAUGAAAGUUAUAAAUUGGUUGUUCACAAAAUUUAGUUUUUACUAGACAAAUGCUAGAUAUAUUUGAGCAUAUAAUACAAGACCAAAUUAUAUAUUAAAACAAAUACAAAAGUUUUUCUAAAUAUUACUAUAUUUCCUAUAUAUAUGGUGAUAUUAAUUAUAUGAUCAAAUUGUUAGAUACAACUACACUGUAUAAAAUAGAGGAUGUUGUAUGAUUGCCAAUGAGAAAACUCAUCCAAUGAUAGACAAAAAUGACAGCAAUUAACAACUGUAGCCUAAAGUAGGUCACCAUACAGUCUUAAACAAUGAGUAAAUCCCAUACCACACAGAGAGCUAUAAAAGACCCUGUAAUGACAAAUGUAAAACAAUUGAAACAAGAAAUUUGGCCUAGUUUAUGUACAAAAUAAUGAACAAAAAAAAAACAAUAUGUGAUACAACAAACAACAACCACUGAACUACAGCCUCCUGAAUUGGGACAGACAUAAACAUGUGGCAGGGUUAAACAUGAAAGCUGGUGCCCAACCCUCCCCUUACCUGAAACAGUGGUGUAACAGUACAAAAUAAGAACAAAUUAUAAAAUAAGUUGAAAAAGUAUUAACUCAUCAGAUGGAUACAAAAAGAAAUACAUUUAACCAAAAAAAAAGAGGGACAUGCCCAGGUACAAGUAUACAAACAACUGAAAGACAUUCAGUACAGAUAUGAGAUUAUUGACUUUAAGCAAACUCAAGCUUAAUAUGAGGUGUGAAAAAUAACCCUAAAUCUGAUAGGUCCUGCAACUUUUGAACAACAGACUCCAAAAAAUCAAAAUUAAAAGUGAACUCAAUCUAAAUUUUGUGUUAAAAUUUCAUGAGAAAUUGUUCAAAGCAAAGAAGACUAUAAUAUUUAAGGACUAUUUUUGGUCCAAGAAUAUAAAAUGUUUGUCAACUAUUUCAAAAAGACACAUUAUGUUUGGAAAUGUAUAUAACUUUCUUGGAUGCACACAUAUCAAGUCUAAAAUAUAUUUUUAUUUGACCAAAAAAACAAGGAAAAUCAAGAAUUUUACAAAUUUUGUCUAAGUUUAUUGCCAUAGUAACUCUUAAAUUGGUAAAAAAAAAACAUUAUUUUCUGAAAAUGGUGUAAAACCUUUUUUAUUUAGCCCCUUCUACUUUGAGAUAUUGAACAAAGUGUUGUCAUUUGAAAGGAUGGAUGGACAAACAAUGGCAUACCAUAUACAUCCCUUACCUACUGUACAUCAAACCAGAAGUAACAAAGUUAAAAAAAAAAAUGUUUAUAUAUUUUCAGAUCACAAUUAUGUCAACCUAAUCAUUGGAAGUUUACCAAGUUAUAUGAGACGCAUUGAAAGCCUGUAGAGAUUCUACAUGUAUACAUAAAUGGAAUAGACUCACACUUACAAAUAACAAGACUAAUGCACUCUCAAACAAGGAUUAUUCACGUUUCAAUGAGUGAAUUGAAGUGCAUACUAGCUGCGCAUGGAAAUUUGUGUGCAUUUUUAAAUAUUUAUUUUCGUUUGAUUAAAUUUUUGUUUUCAAAAAAUUGCAUGUCUUCAUAAAUUAAGCAUGAACAUACAUGUAUUGUUG